AAAAACAAAAAACCAAACGAGAGACAACCCCCGCACGUUAACUUUCAUGGCGGCCGAAAUUCGCCAGGGGAAAAAGUCCGAGAAUUCGAGGGAGAGAAUCCAACCGGAAUCUCCAGAGCCAUGCAAAUGACUGGUGGCCGAGAACAGAUUCCUUGCCCCGCCCCCAAAGAUCUUUGAUGGCUAUUGGGUCCAUCCCCUGCUUCGAAUUCUCUUCUUAUCUCGACUCGGAUGAUGCAUGCCGCUGCUGGCGGGGGAAAACAGAGCUCCUCUCUCUUAGCAUUUCCCGUGUGAUGAGCUCGUCUCGUUCCUGACGAGGUUUACAGUCAUUUGUUUUGGGAUGGCAUGCUGAAUGAAGAAUUAUCAUGGUACAACCAUGCUUACUGUAAUGGGCAGUGUUGGCAAUUACCAGGCACUUCCAAAGAAUCCGGUUCUGCAUGAGACUGUUUCAUGCGGAGCUAGCCAUGUGAUUUGCUCCACUAAAAGUGCAGUUUUUGUUCCUGUGAGGAGUACUAGUAACGUUUUGAAUUCUUCAUUUUCUGACAAAGGCCGCACUCAACUGCAGACCCUUCACCAUGUGGCUUCAAAAAAAUGGCUAUGCCGACUGGGUGACUCCAGUUCGCUUGAUGAUGAAUAUCGUUCAUCCCGAAACAUAGCUAUCAGUCUCUUUAGGUGGUACAAGAAUGCUGUUGAUCGUGGAGGAGGUGACAACUUAAAAGAGUUCAUCAGUGCUGGGGUAAAUGCAUACGCACUCGGCUGCACUGACGAAGGAUUGAGGGAUGAACUUACUGAUAUGAAGGAUCUGGUGUUGAGAUUGAAGCAAUGCAAGCUUAUGGUGGAAACACCACUUUAAAAUCUAAGAUCAUCUCUGAGGAGAUUGAUGAGUGCAUAUUUUGGUUGAGCAUUAUAUUCAUUACCAUCUUGUGCACACCACAACCAACAGUCGUUAGAUGGUCAUCUACCCCACCAGUGUCGGAAGAAAUACUACGCCAGUGGAAAGGAUUCUAUGCUCUCAUAGCAAAUGCAUAUUAUAUUAGGGGAAUGGCAUGGCUUCCGGUGAAAACUCUUCAACUGGAGCAGAUGGCUGUGAUGGGCCGUUCAGAAGAGCCAUCGGUAGUUGCUAGCCGAAUGCGUCUGGUGUUCAGUACUCUCGAGGUGGUGAGUCCACAGUGGCCAAAAGUCUAAGUGCUCCUGACUGAGGUGUACUCAUUUUUCAAGCAUAUCAUCCCUUGUAAGAACUGUGCAGAUUAUAAGUUCCGUAAUGUUCAGUGACCCAGAAAUUUUCACUAGUCAUCGUACAUAGUAAUUUGUGCAAUAAUUACGCAAAUUUGUGAAUAUGUCUGCCCAAAUAUUCGAGUCUAGGUCUAGGCCCUGCCAUCGGUCUUUUUAGUUCAUUCAAUGUUCAGAAUACCUUCGCAAUUAGACAGAUACAAGAUGUGUAAUUGACUUAUUAGUUCUCAUUCCUACAUCACUUAAAUGCCUUCUGCA
RNA transcript from Eucalyptus grandis, 1485 nucleotides. RefSeq lists it as uncharacterized. The transcript is spliced from 7 exons. The record is from RefSeq and is a predicted model, not a curated record. NCBI's taxonomy places the organism in Eukaryota, Viridiplantae, Streptophyta, Magnoliopsida, Myrtales, Myrtaceae.